GUUGAAGUGUUUGUGAUGAUGCAAUCUACCCGCGGCUAGACGGAAAGACCCCAUGAACCUUUACUGUAGCUUUGCAUUGGACUUUGAACCGAUCUGUGUAGGAUAGGUGGGAGGCUAUGAAACCGGAACGCUAGUUUCGGUGGAGCCGUCCUUGAAAUACCACCCUGGUUUGUUUGAGGUUCUAACCUUGGCCCGUGAUCCGGGUCGGGGACAGUGCAUGGUAGGCAGUUUGACUGGGGCGGUCUCCUCCCAAAGCGUAACGGAGGAGUACGAAGGUACGCUAGGUACGGUCGGAAAUCGUGCUGAUAGUGCAAUGGCAUAAGCGUGCUUAACUGCGAGACCGACAAGUCGAGCAGGUGCGAAAGCAGGUCAUAGUGAUCCGGUGGUUCUGUAUGGAAGGGCCAUCGCUCAACGGAUAAAAGGUACUCUGGGGAUAACAGGCUGAUACCGCCCAAGAGUUCAUAUCGACGGCGGUGUUUGGCACCUCGAUGUCGGCUCAUCUCAUCCUGGGGCUGUAGCCGGUCCCAAGGGUAUGGCUGUUCGCCAUUUAAAGAGGUACGUGAGCUGGGUUUAAAACGUCGUGAGACAGUUUGGUCCCUAUCUGCCGUGGGCGUUGGAUAUUUGAAGGGGGCUGCUCCUAGUACGAGAGGACCGGAGUGGACGAACCUCUGGUGUACCGGUUGUCACGCCAGUGGCAUCGCCGGGUAGCUAUGUUCGGAAGAGAUAACCGCUGAAAGCAUCUAAGCGGGAAACUCGCCUUAAGAUGAGAUAUCCCUGGGGACUAGAUCCCCUUGAAGGGUCGUUCGAGACCAGGACGUUGAUAGGUCAGGUGUGUAAGCGCAGUAAUGCGUUCAGCUAACUGAUACUAAUUGCCCGUAAGGCUUGAUCCUAUAACA
Molecule: ribosomal RNA, 896 nt
Filed under: Burkholderia cenocepacia
Lineage: Bacteria; Pseudomonadati; Pseudomonadota; Betaproteobacteria; Burkholderiales; Burkholderiaceae
Description: bacterial LSU rRNA
Rfam family: Bacterial large subunit ribosomal RNA
Source: RNAcentral